Non-coding RNA from Pseudonaja textilis, 148 nucleotides. Lineage: Eukaryota; Metazoa; Chordata; Lepidosauria; Squamata; Elapidae. The record is from RefSeq and is a predicted model, not a curated record.
GUAAGAAUUUAUUUAUUAGAGUCCUUCCAACAUUGUCCUGGAAGGAAUCAAAAUCACUACACAAUUUUAAUAGCCUGCUUCUUGAAGGAACAGAAGUGAAUACGACAUGAAAAUCUUCAAAACGAACCAAGUUUUUUUUUUAAAAAAA